This 510-nucleotide ribosomal RNA is filed under the name Triticum aestivum (bread wheat). RNAcentral describes it as "partial small subunit ribosomal RNA". The record is from RNAcentral. Lineage: Eukaryota; Viridiplantae; Streptophyta; Magnoliopsida; Poales; Poaceae.
AUGCCUUCCUGGAACGACGAGGAAACAAGCUCCGACGAUGAUUGCGAGGUCGUCAGCAUGGACAUGGGAAUUAUGGAGGAACCAGACACCAUUGUUGAGCCCCUUUUCUGUGGACAACUUGAGCUUUCUAAACCCAAAUGCAUUCUGCACCACAUGAGGCCUAUUAAGUUAGUGGCUUUUGAAGGCCCUGAAAAUGGUGUGAAUUGUGGUGUUGUAGAGUGGGUUGAUGGGACUUGGCCUCCUGUUCUUCAGAGAUGUUUGUGCAAGCUAUGGGAAAUGUUCCAUGAGCAAAACUAUGGAAGGGUACUUGACAAGGAGAAGUCUGAGAAGGAGUUGGCCAAGGUUAAGACUGAAAAUGACAAGGAGGUGGACACGCUUAAGACUGAAAAUUACAAGCUUUGCAUUGAGUACACUAAGCUUGUUGAAGAUGUAUCCAAGAUGUUUGAUUGGCAGGAUGGUAGGGUGGACAGGAAAGGUGUACCAGGAACAAGUGGAGGAGGAAGAAUUUAA